RNAcentral lists this ribosomal RNA (726 nucleotides) under uncultured Staphylococcus sp. RNAcentral describes it as "bacterial SSU rRNA". It matches the Rfam family "Bacterial small subunit ribosomal RNA", at positions 70 to 779 of the family's 1533-position model. Lineage: Bacteria; Bacillati; Bacillota; Bacilli; Caryophanales; Staphylococcaceae. The record is from RNAcentral.
CAGACGAGGAGCUUGCUCCUCUGACGUUAGCGGCGGACGGGUGAGUAACACGUGGAUAACCUACCUAUAAGACUGGGAUAACUUCGGGAAACCGGAGCUAAUGCCGGAUAAUAUAUUGAACCGCAUGGUUCAAUAGUGAAAGACGGUUUUGCUGUCACUUAUAGAUGGAUCCGCGCCGCAUUAGCUAGUUGGUAAGGUAACGGCUUACCAAGGCAACGAUGCGUAGCCGACCUGAGAGGGUGAUCGGCCACACUGGAACUGAGACACGGUCCAGACUCCUACGGGAGGCAGCAGUAGGGAAUCUUCCGCAAUGGGCGAAAGCCUGACGGAGCAACGCCGCGUGAGUGAUGAAGGUCUUCGGAUCGUAAAACUCUGUUAUUAGGGAAGAACAAAUGUGUAAGUAACUAUGCACGUCUUGACGGUACCUAAUCAGAAAGCCACGGCUAACUACGUGCCAGCAACCGCGAUAAUACGUAGGUGGCAAGCGUUAUCCGGAAUUAUUGGGCGUAAAGCGCGCGUAGGCGGUUUUUUAAGUCUGAUGUGAAAGCCCACGGCUCAACCGUGGAGGGUCAUUGGAAACUGGAAAACUUGAGUGCAGAAGAGGAAAGUGGAAUUCCAUGUGUAGCGGUGAAAUGCGCAGAGAUAUGGAGGAACACCAGUGGCGAAGGCGACUUUCUGGUCUGUAACUGACGCUGAUGUGCGAAAGCGUGGGGAUCAAACAGGAUU